Hemiscyllium ocellatum (epaulette shark) is the source of this 601-nucleotide long non-coding RNA. RefSeq lists it as uncharacterized. The transcript has 3 exons. NCBI's taxonomy places the organism in Eukaryota, Metazoa, Chordata, Chondrichthyes, Orectolobiformes, Hemiscylliidae. The record is from RefSeq and is a predicted model, not a curated record.
GGGAGAGGGAGAGACACGGAGCUGAAUUCUCCGGCAAGUAGCUGCGAUCGGCUUCAGAGAGCGGCGCUCAGAGCCGGUGUGUGGGAGCGUCGCUGGGAGAAAGGAGCGGACAGAAUUCACAAAUCUCGGAUAGAGGUACUCAUGGAGUUCCUGACUCAAUAGACUUGCCAACUGGUGGCUGGGACGAUGGUUGGUCAGCCGGAAAGACACAGUCAGGGAGGUCGGAGUCUUCAAUCAAUCCUGCUGCCAGGUACAAUGGUGAUCCUGUAAGAGACCAGUGCGGAAUGGGAUGUUAUAAAUCUCAGCUGAGGCUUGCGGCCUACCAUUACCUGGGAGUCACUAAGGGAGAGAAUCUGAGAGAGAGCAGCACAAAGCGGGAGAAUAUAAAUCAGCAGCGAGGGUCAAGGCCGACUGGGACUUGGAUCUGGAGAAACAGCAGAGCAGGAGGCUCGAAAUCAGCACCGAGUCACAGAGGGAGUGACCGUGGGAGGGAGCAACUUGGAGCAGGAGCUUGAGGCUGACUCACACCUGGGAGAAUAUAAAUCAGCACUGAGGAUCGAGGCCUAGCUGUACCUGGGAGUGACAGAGACGGUGACCCUGU